Pygoscelis adeliae (Adelie penguin) is the source of this 899-nucleotide non-coding RNA. Lineage: Eukaryota; Metazoa; Chordata; Aves; Sphenisciformes; Spheniscidae. The record is from the annotation of a RefSeq genome assembly.
UCUCCAUGGUUCGCCACUGGUUCCUUGUGGCCAUCCUGGCCCCUGUGGGCCAGGCCCUUCAGCAAUCACCAGACACAGUUGUCCGAGUGGGAGACUCUGUGACUCUGAACUGUUCCCAACAGAGGAGUGCAUUCUCAACCAUGUACUGGUACAAGUUGCCCACGGGGAAGGAUGCCACUCUGCAGUUGGUUGUAUACUCAGUGGAAGGUGGCGUGGCAGAGAUUGAGAAGGAAUUCAGAAACCACUUCCAGAGUAAUGGGACUAAGGACAAACGCUUAUCUGUGGAGAUAGAUCAUGCCCUACUCAAUGACUCAGGCACAUAUUUCUGUGCUGAGAAACUUUUACCUGGUGAGAGACAACAGUUGAUUUUCGGCGAUGGCACAAAACUUACAGUAAUAGGGAAGAACGAUGAAAUCAUACCUCCAGCUGUGGCCAUCUUUUCCCCAUCAAAGCAAGAGAUCCAACAGAAGAGCAAGGCCACGCUGGUAUGCCUGGCCUCUGGUUUCUACCCUGACCACCUGAAUCUGGUCUGGAAGGUGAAUGGUGCUACGAGGACAGAAGGGGUGGGGACAGAUGAGUUUUCCACACAGAAUGGGAGUACCUACUCAUUGACCAGCCGACUGAGGAUCUCAGCCCAGGAAUGGUUCAAUCCUUUGAACCGUUUUGAGUGUGUUGCCAACUUUUUUAGGAAUGGAACACCAGAAUUGAUACAGAAAUUCAUCUACGGUGACGCUGAUUGUAGCGUCUUUAAAGAAAACUAUCAGAGAAGUGCUACAGCUCGGAAGUUUGUAUACAUCAUGCUUAUUUUCAAGAGCAUUUUGUACGAGAUGUUUGUGAUGGGGCUGAUGCCUAGGUCCAAGGAGAGGAACAGAGUUCUAGUCUGUACACAUUUGUCCUAA